This 360-nucleotide transfer RNA is filed under the name Medicago truncatula (barrel medic). RNAcentral describes it as "lncRNA gene49401". The stretch from base 271 to 356 matches the Rfam family "tRNA". The record is from RNAcentral. Lineage: Eukaryota; Viridiplantae; Streptophyta; Magnoliopsida; Fabales; Fabaceae.
UAAUCGAAUAUCAAAUGGGGUGAUGGCGCAGUUGGCUAGCGCGUAGGUCUCAUAGCUUCUGAGUGAUCCUGAGGUCGAGAGUUCGAGCCUCUCUCACCCCAUAAAUUAUUUUUGUUUUUGUUUUCUGGAUUUUGAAAGAUGUCUGUUUUCUUUUUCUGCCACUUAAAGACGAACACGUUGCCUCAAAGGAAACAAAAAAAAUAAUGACAUUGAAGUAUAUGAUUAAGCUUAAAUAUAUAUAUAUUGAAGACUAUGGUUAUGUAUCAUCAACCGACCUUAGCUCAGAUGGUAGAGCGGAGGACUGUAGUUGGUUAACAGACAUCCUUAGGUCACUGGUUCGAAUCCGGUAGGUCGGAAUUA